CCUAAUACAUGCAAGUCGAGCGAACGGACGAGAAGCUUGCUUCUCUGAUGUUAGCGGCGGACGGGUGAGUAACACGUGGAUAACCUACCUAUAAGACUGGGAUAACUUCGGGAAACCGGAGCUAAUACCGGAUAAUAUUUUGAACCGCAUGGUUCAAAAGUGAAAGACGGUCUUGCUGUCACUUAUAGAUGGAUCCGCGCUGCAUUAGCUAGUUGGUAAGGUAACGGCUUACCAAGGCAACGAUGCAUAGCCGACCUGAGAGGGUGAUCGGCCACACUGGAACUGAGACACGGUCCAGACUCCUACGGGAGGCAGCAGUAGGGAAUCUUCCGCAAUGGGCGAAAGCCUGACGGAGCAACGCCGCGUGAGUGAUGAAGGUCUUCGGAUCGUAAAACUCUGUUAUUAGGGAAGAACAUAUGUGUAAGUAACUGUGCACAUCUUGACGGUACCUAAUCAGAAAGCCACGGCUAACUACGUGCCAGCAGCCGCGGUAAUACGUAGGUGGCAAGCGUUAUCCGGAAUUAUUGGGCGUAAAGCGCGCGUAGGCGGUUUUUUAAGUCUGAUGUGAAAGCCCACGGCUCAACCGUGGAGGGUCAUUGGAAACUGGAAAACUUGAGUGCAGAAGAGGAAAGUGGAAUUCCAUGUGUAGCGGUGAAAUGCGCAGAGAUAUGGAGGAACACCAGUGGCGAAGGCGACUUUCUGGUCUGUAACUGACGCUGAUGUGCGAAAGCGUGGGGAUCAAACAGGAUUAGAUACCCUGGUAGUCCACGCCGUAAACGAUGAGUGCUAAGUGUUAGGGGGUUUCCGCCCCUUAGUGCUGCAGCUAACGCAUUAAGCACUCCGCCUGGGGAGUACGACCGCAAGGUUGAAACUCAAAGGAAUUGACGGGGACCCGCACAAGCGGUGGAGCAUGUGGUUUAAUUCGAAGCAACGCGAAGAACCUUACCAAAUCUUGACAUCCUUUGACAACUCUAGAGAUAGAGCCUUCCCCUUCGGGGGACAAAGUGACAGGUGGUGCAUGGUUGUCGUCAGCUCGUGUCGUGAGAUGUUGGGUUAAGUCCCGCAACGAGCGCAACCCUUAAGCUUAGUUGCCAUCAUUAAGUUGGGCACUCUAAGUUGACUGCCGGUGACAAACCGGAGGAAGGUGGGGAUGACGUCAAAUCAUCAUGCCCCUUAUGAUUUGGGCUACACACGUGCUACAAUGGACAAUACAAAGGGCAGCGAAACCGCGAGGUCAAGCAAAUCCCAUAAAGUUGUUCUCAGUUCGGAUUGUAGUCUGCAACUCGACUACAUGAAGCUGGAAUCGCUAGUAAUCGUAGAUCAGCAUGCUACGGUGAAUACGUUCCCGGGUCUUGUACACACCGCCCGUCACACCACGAGAGUUUGUAACACCCGAAGCCGGUGGAGUAACCUUUUAGGAGCUAGCCGUCGAAGGUGGACAAAAGGG
This 1447-nucleotide ribosomal RNA is filed under the name Staphylococcus aureus. RNAcentral describes it as "partial 16S ribosomal RNA". It matches the Rfam family "Bacterial small subunit ribosomal RNA". The record is from RNAcentral. Lineage: Bacteria; Bacillati; Bacillota; Bacilli; Caryophanales; Staphylococcaceae.